This 699-nucleotide ribosomal RNA is filed under the name uncultured bacterium. RNAcentral describes it as "bacterial SSU rRNA". It matches the Rfam family "Bacterial small subunit ribosomal RNA", at positions 138 to 857 of the family's 1533-position model. The record is from RNAcentral.
CACGGAUAACAUACCGAAAGGUAUGCUAAUACGGGAUAAUAUAUUUGAGAGGCAUCUCUUAAAUAUCAAAGGUGAGCCAGUACAGGAUGGACCCGCGUCUGAUUAGCUAGUUGGUAAGGUAACGGCUUACCAAGGCAACGAUCAGUAGCCGACCUGAGAGGGUGAUCGGCCACAUUGGAACUGAGACACGGUCCAAACUCCUACGGGAGGCAGCAGUGGGGAAUAUUGCACAAUGGGCGAAAGCCUGAUGCAGCAACGCCGCGUGAGUGAUGAAGGCCUUCGGGUCGUAAAACUCUGUCCUCAAGGAAGAUAAUGACGGUACUUGAGGAGGAAGCCCCGGCUAACUACGUGCCAGCAGCCGCGGUAAUACGUAGGGGGCUAGCGUUAUCCGGAUUUACUGGGCGUAAAGGGUGCGUAGGCGGUCUUUCAAGUCAGGAGUGAAAGGCUACGGCUCAACCGUAGUAAGCUCUUGAAACUGGGAGACUUGAGUGCAGGAGAGGAGAGUGGAAUUCCUAGUGUAGCGGUGAAAUGCGUAGAUAUUAGGAGGAACACCAGUUGCGAAGGCGGCUCUCUGGACUGUAACUGACGCUGAGGCACGAAGGCGUGGGGAGCAAACAGGAUUAGAUACCCUGGUAGUCCACGCUGUAAACGAUGAGUACUAGGUGUCGGGGGUUACCCCCUUCGGUGCCGCAGCUAACG